This 1708-nucleotide ribosomal RNA is filed under the name Lethrinus obsoletus (orange striped emperor). Its description in RNAcentral is "16S ribosomal RNA". It matches the Rfam family "Bacterial large subunit ribosomal RNA". Lineage: Eukaryota; Metazoa; Chordata; Actinopteri; Spariformes; Lethrinidae. The record is from RNAcentral.
AGCCCAACAGCUAGCCCAACUCCCCAAAACAACCACCCACUAUAACUAACCCCAAAGACACGCACCCCCACAAAACAAAUCAUUUUUCCCCCUAAGUAUAGGCGAUAGAAAAGGAAUUAGGAGCGAUAGAAAAAGUACCGCAAGGGAACGCCGAAAGAGAAAUGAAACAACCCAGUUAAAGCCCAAAAAAGCAGAGAUAAUUCCUCGUACCUUUUGCAUCAUGAUUUAGCAAGUACCCCCAAGCAAAGAGCACUUUAGUUUGCUACCCCGAAACUAGACGAGCUACUCCAAGACAGCCUGUAGCAGAGGCCAACCCGUCUCUGUGGCAAAAGAGUGGGAAGAGCUUCGAGUAGAGGUGACAGACCUACCGAGCCUAGUUAUAGCUGGUUCCCUGGGAAUUGGAUAGAAGUUCAGCCUCUUGGCUUCUCCCCUCACUUUAGUAUUUACUCCUUACAGACAACCAAAGAAACCUUGAGAGUUAGUCAAAGGGGGCACAGCCCCUUUGACAUAAGACACAACUUUUUUAGUAGGCUAAAGAUCAUAAACCCUCGAAGGACGGUUAUUUAGGUGGGCUUAAAAGCAGCCAUCCUGUUAGAAAGCGUUAAAGCUCCAAUAUAUUCUCAACUCCUUAGAUCCCGACAAUCCUAUCUUACCCCACUAAACCUACCAGGGCGCUCUAUACAACCUAUAGAAGCGAUUAUGCUAAUAUGAGUAACAAGAGGGGGUCAUAGCCCCUCUCCUUGCACAAGUGUACAUCAGAACGGACCCCCCACCGCAAAUUAACGGCCUCAAACAAAGAGGGCACUGAAGAAUGAACUAGACAACUAGAAAAACAUCCAAUAACUAACCGUUGACCCCACACUGGUGUGCUUUUAAGGAAAGACUAAAAGAAAGAGAAGGAACUCGGCAAACAUCUGAGCCUCGCCUGUUUACCAAAAACAUCGCCUCUUGCAAAAUCAAUGAAUAAGAGGUCCCGCCUGCCCUGUGACUAUAUGUUUAACGGCCGCGGUAUUUUGACCGUGCGAAGGUAGCGUAAUCACUUGUCUCUUAAAUGGGGACCUGUAUGAAUGGCAUAACGAGGGUUCAACUGUCUCCUCUCUCAAGUCAGUUAAAUUGAUCUCUCCGUGCAGAAGCGGAGAUAACACCAUAAGACGAGAAGACCCUAUGGAGCUUUAGACACCAAGGUAGAUUUAUGUUUAACCUUCUCCAACAAGAAAAGAAAAACUAAAUAGACUCCUACCCUAAUGUCUUUGGUUGGGGCGACCGUGGGGCACACAAAACCCCCACGUGGAGCAGGAGCACAACUACUCCCACAGCUAAGAGCUACCGCUCUAAUAAGCAGAAUUUCUGACCAAAAAUGAUCCGACAACGUCGAUCAACGAACCGAGUUACCCUAGGGAUAACAGCGCAAUCUCCUUUUAGAGCCCAUAUCGACAAGGAGGUUUACGACCUCGAUGUUGGAUCAGGACAUCCUAAUGGUGCAGCCGCUAUUAAGGGUUCGUUUGUUCAACGAUUAAAGUCCUACGUGAUCUGAGUUCAGACCGGAGUAAUCCAGGUCAGUUUCUAUCUAUGAUACGACCUUUUCUAGUACGAAAGGACCGAAAAGGAAAGGCCCCUACUUAAAGUACGCCUUACCCUUACUUAAUGACACCAACUAAAGUAAGCAAAAGGGCGUACCCCUUUCCGCCUAAGAAAACGGCAUUCACCU